AGAACGAACGCUGGCGGCAGGCCUCAAACAUGCAAGUCUAGGGGGUGUAGCAAUACAUCACCGGCGGACGGGUGCGUAACACGUGGGAAUAUACCUUUUGGUUCGGAACAACGCAGGGAAACUUGCGCUAAUACCGAAUGUGCCCUUACGGGGAAAGAUUUAUCGCCAAAAGGAUUAGCCCGCGUAGGAUUAGCUAGUUGGUGAGGUAAUAGCUCACCAAGGCUCCGAUCCUUAGCUGUUCUGAGAGGAAGAUCAGCCACACUGGGACUGAGACACGGCCCAGACUCCUACGGGAGGCAGCAGUUGGGAAUCUUGGACAAUGGGGGAAACCCUGAUCCAGCCAUGCCGCGUGAGUGAUGAAGGCCUUGGGUUGUAAAACUCUUUCGACGGGACGAUAAUGACGGUACCCGUAGAAGAAGCUCCGGCUAACUUCGUGCCAGCAGCCGC
Molecule: ribosomal RNA, 447 nt
Filed under: uncultured bacterium
Lineage: Bacteria
Description: SSU rRNA
Rfam family: Bacterial small subunit ribosomal RNA
Source: RNAcentral